UCAAUCAAUCAGACCAACUGCUCCAAUCCAGUUCAACAGAUUGCACGAACGUCUGCUUACCACCAACCAUAUCUGCUUUGCUCGACCAAGGGAGCGUGUGAGCAAGAUUAUAGGUGUUGUACAUAGUUAACUGUAACAAGUAGUCUAACCGCUACCCACGGAUUCGCGUGAGCCGUUUGCGGUGAGUUUCAUGUUUAUAAGGUGGUAGAUGAGAGAGGUUGCAUCAAUUAAAAUUAGCAACUUCAAAAGUUCAUCUCUGUCUCACUCUUUUCCCCAUAUCCUCCUGAAUCAUAAAUACCAGCACUGAAAGCAAUUUCUGUUCUAUAUUUAAGAGAUUCAAGUUUCUUUUACGGCUAGUGUACAAGGCGAAAUUCUGAGCAUGUUUUCUCCGGCACAGAUACAAGAGUAUUGAAUUCAUAUAUGAGAUAUGACAUACCGCCAAUAGCAUGUAUUUGAAAGCAGAAAGUCCCUUUUGACGCAUAUUGUUCGUAUAGUUCAUUCAGAACAUCACCAUGGUUUGGACGCCGGAGAGGAGACAACUUUCAACGCCGGAGUGCAGAGAAGAUGAUACGCACGUUAGGGAUUUUGACUGGGCCGAAGCUUGAUUGGGAGCAGAGGAGACAAUUUUUAUCUAUUUUUGAAAUGGGCCGAAGCUUUUUUGAAAGCAGUUUACAGAAGGAUCCCAUUUUGUGAAUGAUUUUGGUAAAAUGACAUCAUUUGGCAAAGAGCAAUAUUGUCUCAAUGACUCAUCCUUCCUUUAACGACAAAUUUGCAUGUUGCAGAAGGACCUUACAUGUGUCGCCCUCGUGAUUUAGAUGCCGUUCAUUUCAUUUUAGGAUUAUUUA
Molecule: long non-coding RNA, 845 nt
Organism: Mangifera indica (mango)
Lineage: Eukaryota; Viridiplantae; Streptophyta; Magnoliopsida; Sapindales; Anacardiaceae
Exons: 2
Source: RefSeq, a predicted model, not a curated record